This 911-nucleotide ribosomal RNA is filed under the name uncultured bacterium. RNAcentral's name for it is "bacterial SSU rRNA". It matches the Rfam family "Bacterial small subunit ribosomal RNA", at positions 99 to 997 of the family's 1533-position model. The record is from RNAcentral.
CGAACGGGUGAGUAACGCGUGGGUAACCUGCCUUAUAGCGGGGGAUAACUAUUGGAAACGAUAGCUAAUACCGCAUAACAAUAGAGAUUGCAUAAUCUUUAUUUGAAAGUGCCAACUGGUACACUAUGAGAUGGACCCGCGUUGUAUUAGCUAGUUGGUAGUGUAAUGGACUACCAAGGCGAUGAUACAUAGCCGACCUGAGAGGGUGAUCGGCCACAUUGGGACUGAGACACGGCCCAAACUCCUACGGGAGGCAGCAGUAGGGAAUCUUCGGCAAUGGACGAAAGUCUGACCGAGCAACGCCGCGUGAGUGAAGAAGGUUUUCGGAUCGUAAAACUCUGUUGUUAGAGAAGAAUGUUGAUUAGAGUGGAAAAUUAAUCAAGUGACGGUAUCUAACCAGAAAGGGACGGCUAACUACGUGCCAGCAGCCGCGGUAAUACGUAGGUCCCGAGCGUUGUCCGGAUUUAUUGGGCGUAAAGCGAGCGCAGGUGGUUUAAUAAGUCUGAUGUAAAAGGCAGUGGCUCAACCAUUGUGUGCAUUGGAAACUGUUAGACUUGAGUGCAGUAGAGGAGAGUGGAAUUCCAUGUGUAGCGGUGAAAUGCGUAGAUAUAUGGAGGAACACCGGUGGCGAAAGCGGCUCUCUGGACUGUCACUGACACUGAGGCUCGAAAGCGUGGGUAGCAAACAGGAUCAGAUACCCUGGUAGUCCACGCCGUAAACGAUGAGUGCUAGUUGUUUGGGGCUAUCCAGCCCUAAGUGACGCAGCAAACGCAUUAAGCACUCCGCCUGGGGAGUACGACAGCAAGGUUGAAGCUCAAAGGAAUUGACGGGGGCCCGCACAAGCGGUGGAGCAUGUGGUUUAAUUCGAAGCAACGCGAAGAACCUUACCAGGUCUUGACAUACUCGUGCUA